AGAGUUUGAUCAUGGCUCAGGAUAAACGCUGGCGGCGCACAUAAGACAUGCAAGUCGAACGAACUUAACCAUUAGUUUACUAUUGGAGCGGUUAGCGGCGGACUGGUGAGUAACACGUAAGCAACCUGCCUAUCAGAGGGGAACAACAGUUAGAAAUGACUGCUAACACCGCAUAUGCCUUAGAAUCACAUGGUUCAAAAGGGAAGGAGCAAUCCGCUGAUAGAUGGGCUUGCGUCUGAUUAGCUAGUUGGUGGGGUAACGGCUACCAAGGCGACGAUCAGUAGCCGAACUGAGAGGUUGAACGGCACAUUGGGACUGAGAUACGGCCCAGACUCCUACGGGAGCA
This 346-nucleotide ribosomal RNA is filed under the name uncultured bacterium. Its description in RNAcentral is "bacterial SSU rRNA". It matches the Rfam family "Bacterial small subunit ribosomal RNA", at positions 8 to 349 of the family's 1533-position model. The record is from RNAcentral.